GAGUUGGGAGGAAGGGUUGUAGAUUAAUACUCUGCAAUCUUGACGUUACCGACAGAAUAAGCACCGGCUAACUCUGUGCCUGCAGCCGCGGUAAUACAGAGGGUGCAAGCGUUAAUCGGAAUUACUGGCCGUAAAGCGCGCCUAGGUGGUUCGUUAAGUUGGAUGUGAAAUCCCCGGGCUCAACCU
This 186-nucleotide ribosomal RNA is filed under the name uncultured Pseudomonas sp. Its description in RNAcentral is "partial 16S ribosomal RNA". It matches the Rfam family "Bacterial small subunit ribosomal RNA", at positions 434 to 615 of the family's 1533-position model. The record is from RNAcentral. Lineage: Bacteria; Pseudomonadati; Pseudomonadota; Gammaproteobacteria; Pseudomonadales; Pseudomonadaceae.